Molecule: non-coding RNA, 30 nt
Filed under: Mus musculus (house mouse)
Lineage: Eukaryota; Metazoa; Chordata; Mammalia; Rodentia; Muridae
Source: RNAcentral
UAUUAAAACUCACCCAAUCCUACCCUUUAA